This is a long non-coding RNA of Salvia miltiorrhiza (redroot sage), 615 nucleotides long. RefSeq lists it as uncharacterized. The transcript has 2 exons. NCBI's taxonomy places the organism in Eukaryota, Viridiplantae, Streptophyta, Magnoliopsida, Lamiales, Lamiaceae. The record is from RefSeq and is a predicted model, not a curated record.
AACUCUUAUUAAAACCCGUAUCAUUUCCCCUUAAAAAGAUAUUUCAGGAACGGAGGAAGUAUCAAAUGAUAGUGAGCAGUCAAUAUACAAUUUAUUACCACAUUAUAAAACAAGUGGUCUAUGCCUACAUACACAAAUUAUAUAAAAAAGUUGUUUAAAGUAAAUUGAAGUUGACAAAAAAAAUGUAAAUUGAAGUAACUGCCAUAUACAGCUGCCAAAAGAUAAAUGUAACAAUUACUCCAUAUGCAAUCAAAAGCACGCCCAAAUGCUUGAAAUGCCGUAAAAGUCCUUUGAAGAAACUUGUAAGUUUCCACAAAAGCUAAGGUAUAUAGCAAGAGUAAAGUGAUAGUAGAACAAGCAACUAUUAUGCAACAACAGCUACAACCAUACAAAUACAGACCAAAUAGCUAAAUAAGCAAAUUUGUAGAGAGUAUCACAAAACAAACCCAUGAAAGUGCAUUUUCCACGCAGUAAUCAUAGCAAGAAGGCGGCCUUUGUACACAUGGAGAAUGCAGAGGUUGUCUCGUGUCUGUCGAUUAGAAGUCAGUUGGUGGUUUCAAUCGUAUAAGUCUCUUGAUUCUGUCUUUGUCUGUGUUCUCCAACAAACCCUUCAGA